Salmo salar (Atlantic salmon) is the source of this 3813-nucleotide non-coding RNA. NCBI's taxonomy places the organism in Eukaryota, Metazoa, Chordata, Actinopteri, Salmoniformes, Salmonidae. The record is from RefSeq and is a predicted model, not a curated record.
GUGCUAUUUAGCCGAGGGUAGUCUGGCCCAAUGACUUGGCUCUAACAGUUGUUCUCCAUACUGCCAACUACAUGUUGUUCUAACUGGCCGCUCUCUGAACCACACACUCCAUUUACCGGAAAUAUGAGCAAUUAUUCCCUUUAGUUACCCUCUCUGGUAACAUUGACAGCAGCUGUUGGGCCUGGGCUCUGAACAGAUUAAGAGGUUAGAGAUCAGAAGGGUAAAGGUGAAGAAGGGUCGUGGUCACCAUGGUGCGUAAUGUGGACGAUCUGGACUUUUGCCUUGCCUCCCACCCCCAGAGCAUCCUGGAGGGGCUGCGCUCCCUCUGCUGCAACCCCAAACUAGUGGACGUGACUCUGGCCGCGGGCGGCCGCGACUUCCCCUGUCACCGGGCCGUCCUGGCGCUCUGCAGCGUCUACUUCCACUCCAUGUUCUCCGGGGACUUUGUGGAGAGCAUAGCGGCCCGGGUGGAGCUGCACGGCGUGGAUCCUGACGUAAUGGCUUCACUUCUAGACUUCUGCUACACAGGGAAACUCACCAUCAACCAGGGAAACGUGGAGGGCCUGAUACGCACGUCCAGUCAGCUACAGUUCCAGGCGGUCCGGACUGUGUGCAGCCGUUACCUCCAGCACCAGAUCGAUGCCACCAACUGCCUGGGGAUCCUGGAGUUCGGGGAGGUACACGGCUGUCCCGAGGUGGUAGCAAAGGCCUGGGGAUUCCUUCUGGAGAACUUUGAGGCCGUACAGCGCUGGGAGGAGUUUCCUCUGCUGGAGAAGGAGAGGUUAGUGGCGUGUCUGUCCAACGAGAGGCUACAGGCCAGGACAGAGUGUACCCGUGUGGAGGCAGCCCUGGCCUGGGUGAGACACCACCAGGAGUCCCGACUCCCCCACCUCCCAGAGCUUCUGGGGCUGACCCGCCUGGCCCUCCUGUCCCCUGACUACCUCACUAACACCCUUAUGAAGGACAGCCUGGUCCUAGCCUCUCUCAGCUGUGUGGAGGUGGUAGAGAGGGUAUGCAGAGAGAAAAUGGACGUGAAGCCAGGCGAUGUGGUCCAGAGUGGCAGCCCAAGUCCCCAACCCAACCUGGAGGAGGUGUUAUUCGUGAUGGGAGGACGCUCGCUGGAUGACUCAGAUGACGAAGAUGAUGAUGAUGAAGACAGAGACCCCAGGCUGCUGCCCGGGAACUGUGGCUUCUACAACCCUAAGACACAACAGUGGUAUGAGCUGCCAGUCUUCCCCAACCACAACAAGUACGGAUACUCUGUGGUCUCUCUGAAUAAUGACGUUUAUGUCACAGGGGGCUCGAGGGGUUCCCAAUCCAACACCUGGUCGACCACAGAGACCUGGAAGUACAUAACCAGAGAGGGACGGUGGGUGACGGUGGCUCCCAUGCUCCGGCCCCGGACUAACCACACCUCAGCAGCUCUCAGUGGAGAGAUAUACGUCAUCGGAGGCACUACAAUGGACUUUGUAGACAUUGAGCACUACGACCCAUACAAUGACACCUGGGCCCGAACAUGCCCUGCAGUGAAAUACGUGACAAACUUCACAGCGACUGCCUGCCAUGGUAAACUAUAUGUGAUAGGUUCCUGUGCUGUUAAGUACAACGCCCUGACUCUGCAGUGCUACAAUCCUGUUAUAGACGGAUGGAGUGUCAUCUGCUCUCCCUUCAUCCCCAAGUACCUGUCCUCUCCUCGCUGUGUCUCAGUGGAGGGGCUCAUCUACCUGAUCGCUGACAACACCAAGAAGGUUUACUGCUACGACCCACUGGCUAACAUGUGGCAGAAGGUCCAGCUGCUGCACAUGCUCCAUGAGAACGGAGAUCUUGUGGCGUUGGACAGUCAGCUCUUUGCAACGGGGGGUCACUGGAAGGGCAUGGAGGGGGACUACGGGGUGGAGGUAGAGGUGUACAACAGAGCUUCUAACAGCUGGAAGGUGGAGUGUUUCCUACCAAGGCUCUGGAUCUACAGCGGGACCUGUUCUAUCUUCCUGGACCCCUCCCAGUGGGCCGACCCAUUCCCCCUCGAUGAAACCUAAAUGGAACCGUCGGGUCCAUGGCAUGCAGCACUUGAAGUGGAAAGAUAAAGGUGCUGGUACUCAUUUUAGCAACCCACUGGGCACGGUGCCAGUUCAACCCACUGGGCACGGUGCCAGUUCAACCCACUAGGCACGGUGUCAGUUCAACCCACUGGGCACGGUGCCAGUUCAACUCAUUGGGCACGGUGCCAGUUCAACCCACUGGGCACGGUGCCAGGUCAACCCACUAGGCACGGUGCCAGUUCAACCCACUGGGCACGGUGCCAGUUCAACCCACUGGGCACGGUGCCAGUUCAACCCACUGGGCACGGUGCCAGUUCAACCCACUGGGCACGGUGUCAGUUCAACCCACUAGGCACGGUGUCAGUUCAACCCACUGGGCACGGUGCCAGUUCAACCCACUGGGCACGGUGCCAGUUCAACCCACUAGGCACGGUGCCAGUUCAACCCACUGGGCACGGUGCCAGUUCAACAUCUACUGGGCACGGUGUCAGUUCAACCCACUGGGCACGGUGUCAGUUCAACCCACUGGGCACGGUGCCAGUUCAACCCACUGGGCACGGUGCCAGUUCAACAUCUACUGGGCACGGUGUCAGUUCAACAUCUACUGGGCACGGUGUCAGUUCAACCCACUGGGCACGGUGCCAGUUCAACCCACUAGGCACGGUGCCAGUUCAACCCACUGGGCACGGUGUCAGUUCAACCCACUGGGCACGGUGCCAGUUCAACCCACUAGGCACGGUGCCAGUUCAACCCACUGGGCACGGUGCCAGUUCAACUCAUUGGGCACGGUGCCAGUUCAACCCACUGGGCACGGUGUCAGUUCAACCCACUGGGCACGGUGCCAGUUCAACCCACUAGGCACGGUGCCAGUUCAACCCACUGGGCACGGUGCCAGUUCAACCCACUAGGCACGGUGUCAGUUCAACCCACUGGGCACGGUGUCAGUUCAACCCACUAGGCACGGUGUCAGUUCAACAUCCACUGGGCACGGUGUCAGUUCAACAUCCACUGGGCACGGUGUCAGUUCAACAUCUACUGGGCACGGUGUCAGUUCAACCCUCUGGGCACGGUGUCAGUUCAACCCACUGGGCACGGUGUCAGUUCAACCCACUGGGCACGGUGUCAGUUCAACCCACUGGGCACGGUGUCAGUUCAACCCACUGGGCACGGUGUCAGUUCAACCCACUGGGCACGGUGUCAGUUCAACAUCUACUGGGCACGGUGUCAGUUCAACCCACUGGGCACGGUGUCAGUUCAACAUCUACUGGGCACGGUGUCAGUUCAACCCACUGGGCACGGUGUCAGUUCAACAUCUACUGGGCACGGUGUCAGUUCAACACACUGGGCACGGUGUCAGUUCAACACACUGGGCACGGUGUCAGUUCAACGCACACCUGAUUUGGAUUUAGGUUAAAAGUUGGGUGAAAAAAAUACGAAAUGCCCUCACGUUGAUAACUUUUUGCAAAUCCAAUUGGUUUUCCAUGUUGAUUCAACGUCAUCACAUAGAUUUUUGGGGUUGAAAUGAUUUGGAAACAAUGUUAACUCAGUAGUGGGGUGUAUACGCAGGUAUGUCCAGGCUGUAUCACAUCCGGCCGUGAUUGGGAGUCCUAUAAGACGGCGCACAAUUCGCCCAGCGUCGUCCGGGUUUGGCCCGGGGUAGAUCGUCAUUGUAAAUAAGAAUUUGUUCUUAAUUAACUGACUUGCCUGGUUAAAUAAAGGUUAAAUAAAAAUACAAAUAAAAAUAUUUGGAUUCUCAGAGGAGGAAGGGGCGGAC